UUUUUUUUAAAGAGACAGGCCUUGAAUUCCUGAACCCUAUUGUGUAAAAGCAAAUGUACAUUGAGUUUGAAUUGAAAAUUUCAAACAGAAGUAAAAAUUUUGGCCUGAUCAUUUAAAGGCAAGAGUGUUUUUCUUGUGAAUUAUCUUAUUGUUGACUUGUAAUCACCCAAAUAUAGUACAUAUAAAACAUGUAUUCCAUAAUGCUACAAAGAGGAGAAAUGCAUUAAAUUAAAUAAAUGUGUCCA
Molecule: long non-coding RNA, 245 nt
Filed under: Marmota monax (woodchuck)
Lineage: Eukaryota; Metazoa; Chordata; Mammalia; Rodentia; Sciuridae
Source: RNAcentral